This 497-nucleotide ribosomal RNA is filed under the name uncultured bacterium. RNAcentral describes it as "partial 16S ribosomal RNA". It matches the Rfam family "Bacterial small subunit ribosomal RNA", at positions 28 to 507 of the family's 1533-position model. The record is from RNAcentral.
GACGAACGCUGGCGGCGUGCCUAAUACAUGCAAGUUGAGCGCUGAAGGUUGGUACUUGUACCAACUGGAUGAGCAGCGAACGGGUGAGUAACGCGUGGGGAAUCUGCCUUUGAGCGGGGGACAACAUUUGGAAACAAAUGCUAAUACCGCAUAAAAACUUUAAACACAAGUUUUAAGUUUGAAAGAUGCAAUUGCAUCACUCAAAGAUGAUCCCGCGUUGUAUUAGCUAGUUGGUGAGGUAAAGGCUCACCAAGGCGAUGAUACAUAGCCGACCUGAGAGGGUGAUCGGUCACAUUGGGACUGAGACACGGCCCAAACUCCUACGGGAGGCAGCAGUAGGGAAUCUUCGGCAAUGGACGAAAGUCUGACCGAGCAACGCCGCGUGAGUGAAGAAGGUUUUCGGAUCGUAAAACUCUGUUGGUAGAGAAGAACGUUGGUGAGAGUGGAAAGCUCAUCAAGUGACGGUAACUACCCAGAAAGGGACGGCUAACUACGUG